RNAcentral lists this ribosomal RNA (580 nucleotides) under Tremella mesenterica. RNAcentral's name for it is "LSU rRNA". It matches the Rfam family "Eukaryotic large subunit ribosomal RNA", at positions 47 to 611 of the family's 3401-position model. Lineage: Eukaryota; Fungi; Basidiomycota; Tremellomycetes; Tremellales; Tremellaceae. The record is from RNAcentral.
UAAGCGGAGGAAAAGAAACUAACAAGGAUUCCCCUAGUAACGGCGAGCGAACCGGGAAGAGCUCAAAUUUGAAAUCUGGCGUCCCACGGGCGUCCGAGUUGUAAUCUGCAGAGGCGUCUUCCGCCCCGGACCGCGUCCAAGUCCCUUGGAACAGGGUAUCAAAGAGGGUGACAAUCCCGUGCUUGACGCGACCCCCGGUGCUAUGUGAUGCGACCUCAAAGAGUCGAGUUGUUUGGGAAUGCAGCUCAAAACGGGUGGUAAAUUCCAUCUAAGGCUAAAUAUUGGCGAGAGACCGAUAGCGAACAAGUACCGUGAGGGAAAGAUGAAAAGCACUUUGGAAAGAGAGUUAAACAGUACGUGAAAUUGUUGGAAGGGAAACGAUUGAAGUCAGUCGUGUCCGAGGGGUUCAGCCGGUCCUGCCGGUGCACUCCCCUCGGACGGGUCAACAUCGGUUCUGUCCGGCGGACAAGGGCAGGGGGAACGUGGCACCCUCGUGGUGUGUUAUAGCCCCCCGUCGCAUACGUCGGUCGGGACCGAGGAUCGCAGCUCGCCCUCACGGGCCGGGGUUCGCCCACGUCCG